Oryctolagus cuniculus (rabbit) is the source of this 2942-nucleotide non-coding RNA. The record is from RefSeq and is a predicted model, not a curated record. Lineage: Eukaryota; Metazoa; Chordata; Mammalia; Lagomorpha; Leporidae.
CACGUGUGCGCCGCUCUGUGGUGGGGGCGUAAGGAGUAAGGGGCGGAGCUUGCCCGGCGUUUCGCGGCGCACCCGGAGCCUGAGGAUUCCCGGGCGUUGUUAUGUGUCAAAUAUAUCCAGGUGACUUGGAAUUUUUAAAAUAUUUUCCUGGGGCUGGUGUUGAGGCAUAACAGAAGUCUGGACAGUUGCAGUUGCUGUUUCUGCCCUACUCCUCCUCUAGCUGGAAAAGGAAGAUAAUAUUCAUCUGUAAUUAAAGUCUGUGAGCAUGGUUGCUAACUUCUUCCAAACUUGGAGGUGCUGGAGCCCAAGAACUUGAGCCAUCCUCCACUGCCUUCCUGGGCCACAGCAGAGAGCUGGACUGGAAGAGGAGCAACCGGGACUAGAGCCUGGCGCCCAUAUAAGAUGCCGGCACCACAGGCAGAGGGUUAACCAAGUGAGCCACGGCGCUGGCCCAAUACCAGGGUCUUUUGCUUCAUGUCAUGUCUCUGGCCUCCACUGUAUUUACACACACUGGCUUCCUAGCCAUUGCUCACAGGGGGCCAAACUAUUUCCCAUCUCAGAUCUUUAUAUGUCUGCCUAGAACAUGUUUUCCUUCAUCUCUUCUCAUGACUGUCUCUUUCAGAUGUGUCACCUUCUCAAACACUGAUGUAAUCUAGAAUAGAUUAAUUUUCUUCGGUCUUUGUCAUAACAACCUGAUAGUUUCUCUUACAAAACUGUUCAAAAUUUAAUUUUUCUGAUUGUUCAAAAUUUCUUCCCCAUUGAAAGAUGGCUGAUCAUGUUUUGUUAACUAUUUUAUACCCAAUGCCUAUGGUAGUGCCUAGCACAAAGGUCACAUUUAACCAAUACUUACCAGUUAAUACUGUGUUUGAAUUUUAAGGCAAUAGUUCUUUUAUACACCUGUCUUGGUUCCUCAUUUAUACCCUAACAGCUUUAAGGAAAGAGUUAACAUCUUAAACCUCUUGAUCAAAGAUUAUAAAAAUUGACCCAUUAGUAAAUUAUUAAAUGAUAUGACUUAUGCCUUUCUUUAUUUUUGCAUUUUUAUUUUCAAAAGUGCAGUCCUUUUGCAUGCUCUUUUAAAUCUGUAUUUCAUUACAGUGCUUGACAUUUUUGGUAACCCUUAAAAAUUAAUUUAACUGGCAGGAAACAGCUAUGUUUUACAGCUUGAAUCUCAAAUAUUUUGGGGAACCUUUUUGAAAGGAAAAGAUAACAAAUACAAAUUAGGUAUUAGUUUUUGGAGAAGGCCUGUGAAAAUGAAAGGAGUAUAAAACUUAUUCUUUGUUUAGCUCUGCUAUGAAUAGGCCUUUGUUAACGACUAACAUCCUGAUUGCAGCUCAUUUUUGCUUGCACUUGUGUCCAGCAUUUGCAAGGUGUAGCUUCUCAAAUCAUCUCACAGAUUAUCCUGUCUGACCCCAACGCAGCCCCGCCCUUUCCUCCACACUCCCGUCACUACUGUUUACUGCAUGCAACUAAAGGCCAGCUGAGUGUCAGUGUGAGAACCCAGCCUCACCACAACAGCUGGUAAUGUUCUGAUACUAAUCCCAUGAUGUCAGUACUUACGUUGGCAUUACUCUGACUUAUUAGCCUUAAAAUCUAUUCUUUGUCUCUUUCAAAAAUUUUGCCUAAAGCCUAAAAGCCAAGUUUGCCUUUUUUUCCCCUCUCCUUUAAUUGUCACUCUUCGUCGGGAAUUGGCAUUUAUUUUGUUAGCAACAGUAACUUUUUUUCUCAUCUUUUUCCCCUCACAACACUUGAAUUUUUAAAGAGUAAGGGGAAGACAAAUGCAUAGUAGCUACUGUACUAUCCAUUUGACUUUCAUUUCACAAUUACUCUAUUUCAAUACUUGAAGGCAGUUUCAGUUUUACUGAUGAACCAAUAAAGUUAAGGGGGAAAAUGGGAAUAUACUAAACAUGUCACUGAGAAUUAGAGUUUUUCAAGUAAAAUGGCCUUGCAGCAGUAGAAAGGCAGCCCUGUGCCCUAUUGCCUGUAUUUUAGGCCAUGCAUUAUUGGCUUUCACUGUGAGUUGGAGUUCAGUGGGUCUGGACAUGAUCUGCCAGCUGUGAGGCAAUGUUUAGGUUAAAAGACCUGUCUCAGAGAUUGGGAAUGCUGAAACCCAGGCAAAGAAAAUAAAUGUCUGAGGGACAUUAACUUAUAGAGAGCAUAUUUAUCCCAUAUGAAUACCUUGCUUGCCUAGAAAAACACGGAUAUUUAACCUCUGAGGCAGCUAUUGAAGCAAAGAGGAAUAGGAGUGAUGACAAUAAAAGGGAGAAGGGAGAGGAAUGAUCGGGGUACCUAAAGGAUUGGGAAUUUUUUUGAGGAGUCCCAGGCAAGAAACCACACACUGGGUUGUUAAUGUAUUAUACAUUUAGUAAGCACCUAAUAUGUACCAGGUAGCAUUCUCAACAAUAGAAAUAUGGAUAAGGUGGUUCCUGACUUGAAGGAACAUACAAUGUAAUAGGAGAAAGACAUACUUAAAAGUGUUCUAUAUUAGUGGUUUAGAUGAUAUAAUGGUCAUACAAAGGAGUAAGUGAAUUUUGGUUGGGAAUCUGGAAGAUAUCACAGAAGAGAAACCCUGUACUACAAGUGGCAAACACUGUUGAUUGCUUACUUUGAGCAGACCCAACACAGAUUUGGGUGUGAUCCCAGGAAGCACUGUCAGUCAGAACUUGAAAUUCAAUAAAUCCAUAGCAGAGUAAUUUUUAAGGUUAUAAUUUCAUAUGUCCCGCAAGUGAUGUUUUAAAUAUCCAAAUGGUCUUUAGUAGAAAAAAGGUUCCCCCACCUUGGUGGACAUGACUCAGAAAUGUGCCAUUAAAGAUGAAACCAGCAUUUACUCUCUGCCUCUUGUUUCAUUGGUUGGGAAUCUUUUUGAGGGGAGAGAGAGAGAGAGAUCUUCCAUCUACUGGUUCACUCCCCAAUUGUCUGCAACGGCUGGAUCUGCGCCGAUCUGA